CCAAUAGCGUAUAUUAAAGUUGUUGCAGUUAAAAAGCUCGUAGUUGAAUUUCGGGAUUGACGUGAUGGUCGUGCCUUACGGGGUAUGAACUGUUGCUGUUGAUUUCUCACCUUCUGGAGAAACUUGAUGUCCUUAAUUGGGUGUCUUGCGGAUCCAGGACCUUUACCUUGAAAAAAUUAGAGUGUUUAAAGCAGGCAUUUUGCUCGAAUACAUUAGCAUGGAAUAAUAGAAUAGGACGGCAUGGUUCUAUUUUGUUGGUUUCUAGGAUCACCGUAAUGAUUAAUAGGGAUAGUUGGGGGCAUUAGUAUUCAAUUGUCAGAGGUGAAAUUCUUGGAUUUAUUGAAGACUAACUACUGCGAAAGCAUUUGCCAAGGAUGUUUUCAUUAAUCAAGAACGAAAGUUAGGGGAUCGAAGACGAUCAGAUACCGUCGUAGUCUUAACCAUAAACUAUGCCGACUAGGAAUCAGACGAUGUUAAUUUUUUAAUGACUCGUUUGGCACCUUACA
RNAcentral lists this ribosomal RNA (506 nucleotides) under uncultured Glomeromycotina. Its description in RNAcentral is "partial small subunit ribosomal RNA". It matches the Rfam family "Eukaryotic small subunit ribosomal RNA", at positions 591 to 1092 of the family's 1831-position model. The record is from RNAcentral. Lineage: Eukaryota; Fungi; Glomeromycota.